CAUGCUGGCUAAAUAAAUAAGUGAAAAAGAAAGGAAGGAAGGGACAAAUGAAAGGAAAAAGACUAAUUUUUUCAUUCAUCUUUUCAACUAAACCUGAGUGGGAUUUUACAAAAGGGAGUCUGCAGAGUAAUAGGCGCAAUCAUGGAACUAGAUGUACUGAGUAUUUAUUUAUCAAUUUUUUUUUGGCUGCCCUCACAGCAUGUGAUGUUCCCAAGCCAGGGGUCCAAUCAGUGCCACAGCAGUGAGGCGGGCCACUGCCGUGACAAAACUGGAUCCUUAAUCUGCAGUGCCACAAGGUUCCCAGAUUUACUGAGUGUUUAUAGUGCACUGAAUGGACUAGGCAUUUGCUUUGUGGGAUCUCACUUGAAUUUAAAUGGGACAAUACCCUGCCAGAGCACAGACCAGCAUCCAGGUUUUACAGAUGAGAAAAUCUGAGCCCAGAGAAGUUAAAAAAUUUUCUCAAGGUCACAAGGUUUAAACUUCGGGUUGAAGGGAGGUAAUACCUGGAUCAGUAUGAGACUCUCUCCCCUGACUUGUCUCCACAGUAGUGAGAAGUCUCAAGUCUCCCAGUAGGAUUUUCAGAAGAGUCACACCCACUGGAAUGCAUCUAUUCUGUGUGAUUUGGUUUUGAAAAAAUCAGCCCCCUUAGGAGUUCCCAUUGUGGUACAGCAGAAACGAAUCUGAUGGCUAUCCAGGAGGAUGCAGGUUCAAUCCCUGGUCCUGCUUGGGGAUCUGGCAUUGCUGUGGCUGUGGUGUAGGUCACAAAUGCAGCUCGGAUCCUGCAUUGCUGUGGCUAUGGUGUAGGCUGGCAGCUAUAGCCCCAAUUCAGCAUUCAGCCCCUAGCCUGGGAACCUCCAUAUGCUGUGGGUGUGGCCCUAAAAAAAAAUCAGCCCCCUUAUUUCAUAAUCACAGCUUAUAGAUACCAGAAGGACAAGGCCAUGUCUUGCUUGUCCCAUGAAAUUGUCACCGUGCCUGUCCCCAUGGGGUUACUCAAUACACACUUACUGAAUGUCUUAGAUCAGGCUCUCUGGCUUUCUGUGGCCAGUCACCCCAGCAGGCCCACUUCUCUGAGCCUUUUGAGCUCUUCCUUUCUUCUUUGUCCCAGAAUUUCUGCUUCACUUAGUAUGGGCACUUCCUGUGAGUUUCUGCAAGAGCCCCAGCCCUGUAGACCUUGGGCCUGUCUCACGGGGUCCUUACCAUAUGUUCAACCCUGUGUCAGAAGAGAGUGUUCCCAUGUUAAUAAGCUCUCAGUCGUCCCACCAUCUAUUGCCAUUGGAUUCAGCCCCAUGCAUGUGCUCCUGGCACCUGCCAGGGCAGUUAGCUGGGCCCUGCAACUCCUUCAGGGUGAAGCCCCUUUUCUGGAGGCCUAGCAUAUCCCUGGUGGAAUUUGGUGUGACUUAACCUUCAUUUUUGGUCUUGUGGCCUGGGAGAGAUGUCCUGAAGCAGUGUGUGCUAUCUUGCCAGACAAAGUCCUCUGUGUCAUCUCCAAACAAGGGGGACGAGUCUAUAAUUGAGAAGGUUGGGCCACUUCUGCAGCUCAGAGCGUCCAGGCAGGGCUGGAGCUUCAGGGUUCUCAGGUUCUCAAGUGCUUCAACCUCAAUGUCCUACCCCCCACCUGAGAAUUCCACUCCUUCCUGAUCAGGGUCCUGACCUUAGUCACAUCAGGGUGCAAAAUUAACAGUUUUGCCAAAACUCUGCCACCCUUCUAAUUAAAUCCUGGGCCUAGUCCCCAGCUUUUUUCUGCUCUGCAGCUGCAGGAGAUGAGAAGCCCCAACACACUACCAAAGGGACCCUCUGAAUUUCACACAUUGUCUUAAAUUAGUGAUUGAUCACUUCCAGGCUUUCAUUGGCUUUCUCCAAUAUGUUGAUAGCACUACGUGGAGCCAUCACAUUCAUUAGUCUUAGUAAUGACUACUUCCCCUCAAAUCUCUCAAACAUCUCAUGUCCCCGCCAGCCAGUGCUUUUCUUCGCACUAUCACCCCCAACUCACCAAGAGUGAAAAUCCUCCCAAUUUCAGGGUGUCUGGGUGUCAGGUGCCAUCAGUACUGCCCCUGCCACAAUGAUGGCUUUCUGAUUGCCAGUUCACUGACAGGUGACCCAAAAUCCUAGAUAGAACUGAUCCUGCUUCCAACAGCCUUAGAUUAGGUAUCCCGGGAAAUGGACUCCCAAGUGGAUAUCAGUUUGCAGAAAGUUUAUCAGUAGGCACUUUUGGGAACACCACCUUGGAGGGGGUAAGCAAAAAGCAGGAUUGGGUGGAGGGAGCAGUUGAGCUGGAUGCAGUUACCAGGGACUCUGGAGCUGGGAUGGCCCAUCUAGGCUGUCAUGAACAAAGCCAAGGGAGCUACACUUGCGUACCUUCCACAUUAAUCCAUUGAUGGACAUGUGUUGCCCCCAGAAAACAGGAACGGCUUUGCUUGAGAUAGCAGCCUUCACACCUGGUGGUCAUUUUGGAGAGGAAGUCAGCCAUGAACUGUCAGCGGUCUAUACUCCUGGCACAUGGAGAAAUGGGCCUGGGCAGUACACCACAACACCCACUACACUGAAUGAAUGAUUGAAUGAAUGAAUCAAUAUCCUGCUUCUCUUUCUAACUACCUUGAAAAAAAAAAAAAGGGCUUCUCUAGUCUGUGAUCUUUUCAUACCCAGCAAUGCUUGUUGCCCAGAAUUAUGCUCUACAUUUGGUACCUUCAUUUAGAAAGAACCUUCUGAAAUGCCCUUCUAAUUCAAUCUACUUAUUCCCCAGAUGAGAAAACUAAGGUCCAAAAUGUGUAAAUAACUUGCUUGAAGUCUGACCGUGAAUUUGUGAUUGAGCCAAGACAUCACAAGGGCUGUUUCAGCUUCAGAAACAGAGGUCUAAAUACAUAAGGAUUUCCUUUGACAAAUACAAGAAGUCUGAAAGCCCAGCGUUGGUUUCAGGCUCCAGUUACCUCGGACUCUGCCCCCCCAAUUCUGGCACAUGGCUUCUAUCCCCACGGUCAAGGUCUGACAUGGCUCCAGAGUUCCAUCUAUCACAUCUGAUUCUAGGCUUGAAGCAGGAGAAAUCUGGGGAAGCAAUAGGGCAGCUUCUCUAUCCAUUUUCAGCAGGCUUCUCCGAAGCCCCUUCUGACUAUACAUCCUUGGCUAGAACUUGGUCCCAGAGCCUCUCCAACUAUAAUGGAGGCUGGCGAAUGUUGUCUUUAUUCUAGAUGACAAUUUUCCCAGCAGAGAGUGGAAGGUCUACAUCUAAGUGAGAAGGAGGAAAUGGAUGUUUGGUAGGUAAGUUACAAGCUUUACCUCAUUGGCAAUAGGACUGUUAAAAAGCACCCAUUUAGGGAUUACACCUGGAUUGGUCCCCUCUUAGAUGCAGGACUAUUUUAAAAUUAUUUAACCUCUAGACUUUUUGUUUCUCCAUAUGUAAAACAGACAAUUAUCCCUAAACUCACAGAUAUAUUGUGAACUACCAUGUGGAAAGCACCUAGCACAAUGUCAACUUCAUGAACUGGCAGAAUAUCUACCUCUCCAUCACCCAAGUACUAAAUUACCUGAUUACAGCGUAAUGGCAUUACACUCCGUUGCUCUGUUUAACUGCCCCC
Molecule: long non-coding RNA, 3569 nt
Filed under: Sus scrofa (pig)
Lineage: Eukaryota; Metazoa; Chordata; Mammalia; Artiodactyla; Suidae
Description: lncRNA (ENSSSCG00000053537.1)
Source: RNAcentral